GGCCGGGCCGUGACGUCACUCGCGGGCAGCGUUCUACGCGGCGGCCUGCCCUGCCGCAGUGCCCGGGCCGGGCGGGCGGGCCUCGUCCUAGAAGUUUCCUUGUUUUCAGCAGUAGAUCAAGUCAAGACGGCUACCAAAUACAUCCCUGAAAAAUGCAGAGUACAUACCCUUCUGUUGCAGCCCAGCCUGCUUGCUGAGUAUUAUCAGCUUCCACCAGCAAGAAAAGAGGAGCCAGGCUAGUGGGGAAUGUGACUUCCCUUUCUUCCCAGCAUCCCCUGCAGGCCACAAAGAGCAGGCAGAAGCGAACUGCAGCUCCCGCGAGCCCCUGAGUCUCGCCCCGCCCCCUCCUCCGAACGCCCGUCACGUGCCCCGAGGCUGCCGCCCCAUUGGACGGGGAGCGAGGGGCCGCGUAGAAAAGCCGGGCGAGGGGCGGUGCCCGGCCUCUGCGCGCAGCACUGGCGGCGGGGUGAG
Molecule: long non-coding RNA, 471 nt
Organism: Alligator sinensis (Chinese alligator)
Lineage: Eukaryota; Metazoa; Chordata; Crocodylia; Alligatoridae
Exons: 3
Source: RefSeq, a predicted model, not a curated record